Salvelinus sp. IW2-2015 is the source of this 301-nucleotide non-coding RNA. Lineage: Eukaryota; Metazoa; Chordata; Actinopteri; Salmoniformes; Salmonidae. The record is from RefSeq and is a predicted model, not a curated record.
AAGACGUUCCAGAGCUCCAGGCUCUGCUGAAAGAGGCAGGAGACUCCCCACAGGCCGACACAGAGGACGUAGCCCAGCUAAAGGUGCACCUGCAGAAAGAGAGAAAACUAAUCAAAGAUCUUGGCCAAGCAGCCACCAAACUCCAGCAGCUCUUAAAGUCCACUCAGGAGCAGCUCGCCAAAGAGAGGAACAAACACUGCACACUACAGGACCACUCUGAUGAGACCAAGAGUACAGUGCUGAAGGAAGGAACAUCUGUUUAAGAGACUGAAGACAAGACAUUAAAACAUUCCAAAAAGGC